Rattus norvegicus (Norway rat) is the source of this 698-nucleotide non-coding RNA. Lineage: Eukaryota; Metazoa; Chordata; Mammalia; Rodentia; Muridae. The record is from the annotation of a RefSeq genome assembly.
GUUUAUUACCACCAAUAAAUCUUUCAUCAAAUUGUCCUGCAUUUAAAUAUGCCUAAGAAAAAAAUCAACUCAAUGUCAUCUUACCAAAGUGAGGAACCAACAUCUGCUACUAGUUGUUUUGAUUCAAACUGCCUGCUUGCAUCUACAAUCUUUACUCUCCUGGAUGUGGAGGCCUCGGAGUCCUGCAGGGGUGAGCAGCCAGGAGAAGGUGCAGCAGAGCCCAGAAUCCCUCAUUGUCCCAGAGGGAUCCAUAGCUUCUCUCAACUGCACUUAUAGUGAUCCUAAUUUUCUGUACUUCUGGUGGUACAGACAGCAUUCUGGGGAAGGCCCCAAAGCCCUGAUGUCCAUCUUCUCUAACGGUGAAAAGAAAGAAGGCAGAUUCACAGCUCACUUCAGCAAAGCCAGCCUGCAUGUUUCCCUGCACAUUAGAGACUCCAAACCCAGUGACUCUGCUCUCUACUUCUGUGCAGCGAGUGAGCGCACAGUGCUCUCCAGGCACCUGCAGCCUGCACCCAAACCUACCCUGCCUUGCUAAGAUCUAACAGAGAGCACAGACCACACAGAGAAGAAACUCUAUUUCUAUUCUGCAUAUGUGCAAGUGUUAUAAAGAGGAGUUGAUUGGUAAAAUAGUUGAACAACUUAAAAAUAAGUGAUCAUUAAGGGAAAGGCAAAUUACUGGUUUCGUUGAAUAUUUUCCA